Molecule: non-coding RNA, 206 nt
Organism: Oryza glumipatula
Lineage: Eukaryota; Viridiplantae; Streptophyta; Magnoliopsida; Poales; Poaceae
Source: Rfam
UAUAAGUGUAGUUGCGAUUUUUCAUAUCUAACAUUUAACCAUCCGUUUUAUUUGAAAAAAAAUUAUGAUUAGUAUUUUUAUAGUUAUUAGAUGAUAAAAUAUGAAUACUAUUUUAUGUGUGAUUAUUUUUUUUAGUUUUAUCAUAAAAUUUUCAAAUAAAACUGACCGUCAAACGUUGGACACGGAAACUUACCACUGCACUUAUA